AGAACGAACGUUGGCUGCGUGGAUUAGGCAUGCAAGUCGCGGGAAUCCCCAGCAAUGGGGGGAACCGGCGUAAGGGGCAGUAGGGCGUGGGCAACCUACCCCGGGGUCUGGCAUAGCCCGUCGAGAGACGGGGUAAUUCCAGGCGACAUCCCGACGGGGCAUCCCGACGGGAUCACAGGUCCGCCGUCCCGGGCGGGGCCCACGUGAUAUUAGCUGGUUGGUGGGGUAACGGCCCACCAAGGCGGAGAUGUCUAGCGGGUGUGAGAGCACGACCCGAGCCACUGGCACUGAGACACUGGCCAGACACCUACGGGUGGCUGCAGUCGAGGAUCUUCGGCAAUGGGGGCAACCCUGACCGAGCGACGCCGCGUGUGCGACGAAAGCCUUCGGGUUGUAAAGCACUGUCUAGGGGGAGGAAAGCCCGCGAGGGUGUGACCUACCCUGGGAGGAAGCACGGGGCUAAGUUUCGUGCCAACAA
RNAcentral lists this ribosomal RNA (478 nucleotides) under uncultured Planctomycetota bacterium. Its description in RNAcentral is "bacterial SSU rRNA". It matches the Rfam family "Bacterial small subunit ribosomal RNA", at positions 26 to 514 of the family's 1533-position model. Lineage: Bacteria; Pseudomonadati; Planctomycetota. The record is from RNAcentral.